UAAAACUGAGAAGAGAGGAAAAUCCACCAAGCCUCAAUCUAGGACCAGUGUUAGGGUCAAAGCUAAAACUGAGAAGACAGGAAACUCAGCCAAGGCUGCACCAGCAAGUAGGCCUGAGGCAAUUUCUCAACCUGUGAACAAUAGGAAGUCAGUCAAAGCUAAGGAGACUAUUGCGCAGCUGAGAGAAUAGACAACUACGACCCCAAAAACAACACGUAAUAUUACAUAAAGUGGCAAGGAUAUGAUGCGUCCCACAACUCAUGGGUGAAAGCGGAAGAGGUAACUUCUCCUCUCAUCUCUUCUUACAAAGAGAAAUUAGUACAAUGGACAACAAAUCAAGUGGUCUCAGCUGUUGACACUGGUGGAGGGGGACCUACACUUGACUAGAAAUAAUGAUGGAGAUGUGGGAGGUCUGCGUCAGCUCUCCAAGAUUCGCCAUGAACAUCUGUAUCUUACGCCGUCAUUGAGAAUGAAGGUCAGCUUGGCUGCACAGACAAUCUGUGGCUGUUGUAUACAUAUAUCAUUCAAUAAACGUGACGUUUUUCAUAUUAUUAGAUACA
Molecule: long non-coding RNA, 560 nt
Organism: Lineus longissimus
Lineage: Eukaryota; Metazoa; Nemertea; Pilidiophora; Heteronemertea; Lineidae
Exons: 6
Source: RefSeq, a predicted model, not a curated record